RNAcentral lists this small RNA (3952 nucleotides) under Histoplasma capsulatum var. duboisii H88. RNAcentral describes it as "Histoplasma capsulatum H88 hypothetical RNA". The record is from RNAcentral. Lineage: Eukaryota; Fungi; Ascomycota; Eurotiomycetes; Onygenales; Ajellomycetaceae.
GCCAGACGGGGUUGCGGAAGCUCUGAGAGACCGACUGCCAUCGCACCUCCAUCUCCCAUAUCCAACCUCACUCACCGAUUCACGCCGCCCACCAUGCCUAGCGAAGUUUCAGAUAUCAAGCAGUUCAUCGAGAUCUGCCGGCGGAAGGAUGCUUCAUCUGCCCGUAUCAAGCGCAACCGCAAGACUUCCCAGAUCAAGUUCAAGGUCCGGUGCCAACGAUUCCUCUACACCCUCGUCCUCAAAGAUUCCGACAAGGCAGACAAGCUUAAGCAGAGUCUACCGCCCUCUCUCAAAAUCGCAGAUGUCUCCAAGGGAAACAAGAAGUCCACCUAAACGGAUGGUUUUGGGGUUUAAUGAAACGGGAGGGGGGUUGGUGUUUGGGGAGGGUGUUUAAAUAAAAAUAUUAUUUAAGCAAAAAAAAUGAAGAAAAAAUGAAUAACAAAAAUUUCGUCGGACGUAUGACUGGUUUGACUCUCAACUGGAAAUAGAUACACUACGAUUGAACGUGUGAGCUAUAGCUCAUUUUCAUUCUUGCCAAAGGGACGUGGGUUAUCGAAUGGAAUGGAGAAAACAACCCCCUUUUCCCGUGGAUAUUCAACAGGGCAAAUAUCAACGGGAGCAAGGGUGCCAGCAUGCCUCUUACUUUCUUUGUUCGUGUUGAUAUUAUGGCAAAGCUCGUGUUGGAGCGCUCCAGUCACUACUUAAGUACUCUCUUGUUGGGAACUUGAUGUAGUCAAUGGCUUCUGGGUUCUUUCGAAUGAAUGAUAGACUCCAGAGCUCGAUAGCUUUGGCAAUAGUCUUUUUGUCCUUUCCAUAUACCUCUUAAUUUUAAUUUCCUUUACUUCUCCUGUUUAUGAAUUCGUGGAUCACAAUAUCUCGGGAGUUCCCUCACGGAACUGACCCCUUAUUGCUUCAUCCCCGUUCAUAGCCCACCUCCAUAUACUCCUCCACCCCACACCUUCUCAACAACUGCCCUCCUUCAUCCCCACCCAAUCCUCCCCUCCUUAACUCCACCUCCCCAAACACAUUCGGCUCAUCAGACACCUUCGUAAACCCCAAACUCAGAAACAACCCCAGACUGCGCGCAUUACCCGCGCCAAUCUUAGCAGACAGAUAUGCUAGUUUCCCCUCUCCCACUACCACUUUUCCUAGUUUUGUCUCGUCCCGUCUCCCGUUAUCGUCUGCAGCUGGGGGCGCUGCUGCUAACGAUAACGAAGAAACAAACCCCCUCAUAAUUUCCACCUCAUGGUCCGCAAUAUACUUCAAAAAACAUACCAGUCCAGCCCUCCCAUACCCCUUACCCUGCUUCACUUUCUCUGCUAUCAUAAGUUCUAUUUCACCGACGACUCUUGCGCUGGUACCAGCAGCAGCUGCUGCUGCUGCAGGGAGAUGGCCAUUACCACCUUCUUCAUCGUUCGCAUCUAGUCUCAGAAACAAAUUCACGUCUCCCAGCAUUGAUGUUGAGGCAUCGAUACGUGGAUCAGUCAGCGGUGCCGUAGCUCGCAACUCUGCUGGUUGGCUGGCGUUUACAUCCUCUGCAGCUGCAGCUGCAGCAACACGAGCCACAGCCCCAGCCGGUAACGAAGAUGGUGAAGAAGAAGAAGAUGAUGAUGAUGAUUGUAGCGUUUGACGAAGCGGUAAACAGAUUAUAAAUGUUAAUUUAUCCGCAUCGGUGCGCCAGCUGGUUUGCAUGGCGUAUUCCUCCUCGAGGCUUAAUGGUUCGGAAGCGGUGGCUUGUUGGAUCUCCUAUGUGUUUGAUAUUUAUCAUUUGUUCAUUUGUUAUCAUCGUCAUCAUCAUCAUUACUAUCAUCAUUAAGUUUUUGUUAAUGAUAAUUACAAUAUGUAAAUAUAUAUAGACCUACGGGGUCUUUCAUCCACUCAUGGUACUGCGGCACAUGGUGCUUGCAGUAUGGGACGAGCAGGACACGGGAGGACGAGAGGGCGGUCUUUUCGUUGAUGAGCAUAGUUCAAUUUGCCAAUUCGUUUCGGAAUAUAUCAAGGCUCUUUUCAAACUCGAAGUGUGUUUGUGUGAUAUGUACGGUAUGUGUUGUGGCUCACGAGGGCGAAAACGGGGAAUGAAGCGGGAUGGGGUAAUUAUUGAGAUUGAUUUUUAAAUAAUUCUAAUAUGAUGGCGGGGAUUUAUUUCUUCCUCCCUCCCGUUCCUUUAUGCAGAGUGAUAUCUAGAACAUGAACAAAAAGCGGGAAGAGUGCGGUAUUCAAGAUGGUGUUAACUUCAUGGACUGGGAACUUACCAAGAUAGGAAAUUAGGGUCUCCAUCUGAGAGUAAUUUGGUAAAUCAGUGUGAAAGUACAAGUCAUCGCAAAUUUGAAUAACAUGAUAAAAUGAUUUUCUGAUCGCCGAGAGAGGAAGUUCUAAUGUGCUUCGCUAUAUCUAUUUGUUUAUGGCGAUUAUGUCGUUCUGCAAUCAUAAUGAAGCUACUAUCCCGACGUCUCAGUGUUUUCUUUAAGCAUAGAGGCAGCAAUAUACCCCCCCUCCAACAGCUAGCCGUGAUACAUAAGACGUGCGUGAAUAAUUCCCACCAAAUUAUUAAUCAUGGACUAUAAGAAAAAAAGUGCACGCCCUACUCCAUUUUCAUCUCGCUAUCGCCAUUCGCCUCAAGGUUCUCCUUCUCAAAGGUACCAAACUUCACAACUUCCACUUCCAACGUUUCCGCAUCAACGAGCACGAUCUCGCCCGUCUGGCUGAACUUCGGAAGCGCUAUUACGCGCACGCGGGUGCCUUGCUCCUCGCUAUUAUCUGCCGAAGAUAAGGUAGUGGAAGCUUCGACAAUUCCCGUUCGGAAACUUGGUUGGUUCCCUGCAAAGAAAACGUGCGGACAGGAUUGGAGAGUGAAUGGGUCGUGAGUUUGAUAAGGGUAACACCAUAACGUAUCCGGAGCAGUGGGCACAGCACACCGCCAUCUUAGCAUUGCUUCCAUUAGUCGUAAUCGCGCCUCACCGUCCUUGUCACUUUCACUACCCUGAAGAGUAUCCCCUUCCACUUCCAAAUCUAUGUAGCGAAGCACAUCGUCAACAUUCUGACCACUGCAGCCCCAAAACCGCCAGCCUUCCACAUCGCCUUCCCAGGGGUUCGUCACGUUAUCUAGCCAACCCGGUUCCGCGGCGGGCUCAGCUACUCCCGGGCGCGCUGCAGAGCAAUAGGCUUUUGAACGCGGAAACAUGGCCCUGUGGAUUUCCUGCUGGGGCAAUGAGAAAUUCGCAGGAUCGGUUUCGCCGGGCAUGAGGGUUAUGGGAAUACUAGGGAGGAUCUCGGCAAGGAAUGUAUCGAAAUGAUUGAUGGGCGAAGCGUUGUAAGCUGUGGCAUCGUAGCCAUACUUUUUAGGAGCGUGGCGCUUUUUCGCCAGCGCGGGAUCAGCAUUCUCGGCUUCGGAUUGAGAGAUGAUCAUGCUGCUUCCGAGGGAAUUUCCGGCAAUUAUGAGGCGGGUGAUCUGGGAUGAAGAUGGGGGGGUAUUGUUGUUGUGUGUUUGAGUGGGAAACUCGUUAUAUCCGAGAAGGUACUCCGUUAAGAGGGAUAGGGCGACUGUAUCUCCAGACGUGCCGGUGAUGUUAAGACCGCUGACUAGAGCUAUCUUUUUUCUUCUUCCUUCAAUGCUGUCACUGCUUGCUUCGAGGGAGCUGUGCUUCCGCUUUGCAGACUCCUGAGGAACAGAUGAUCUCUCCCAGCGCUCGGGUUGAGGUGGUAGAUCAGGUACCUUAAUAUCGAUCACCUCAAAAUCGCCAUUGGCGUUCUCCGUGCCGAGGACCGCAACUAUUGCCCCUGUGACGAGAAGAGACGAUUGAAGUAAAGUUCCGGUCAGCUGCAAACGGCCAGACUCAUCUUCUAGCAUUGUCUUUGUCAAUGCUUGAUUUGAAGGGUCAACAUAUGUUCUUCGAACGGGCGGAGCGGCAGUCCAAUGUUCUUUUGAGAUGUCGUCUAAAAUGUUAGGUUUCAG